AUUGAACGCUGGCGGCAUGCCUUACACAUGCAAGUCGAACGGCAGCACGGGAGCAAUCCUGGUGGCGAGUGGCGAACGGGUGAGUAAUAUAUCGGAACGUGCCCAGUCGUGGGGGAUAACGUAGCGAAAGCUACGCUAAUACCGCAUACGAUCUAUGGAUGAAAGCGGGGGAUCGCAAGACCUCGCGCGAUUGGAGCGGCCGAUAUCGGAUUAGGUAGUUGGUGAGGUAAAGGCUCACCAAGCCGACGAUCUGUAGCUGGUCUGAGAGGACGACCAGCCACACUGGGACUGAGACACGGCACAGACUCCUACGGGAGGCAGCAGUGGGGAAUUUUGGACAAUGGGCGCAAGCCUGAUCCAGCAAUGCCGCGUGCAGGAUGAAGGCCUUCGGGUUGUAAACUGCUUUUGUACGGAGCGAAAAGGCUUCCACUAAUACUGGGGGCUCAUGACGGUACCGUAAGAAUAAGCACCGGCUAACUACGUGCCAGCCGCCGCCGUAA
RNAcentral lists this ribosomal RNA (500 nucleotides) under uncultured bacterium. Its description in RNAcentral is "partial 16S ribosomal RNA". It matches the Rfam family "Bacterial small subunit ribosomal RNA", at positions 30 to 523 of the family's 1533-position model. The record is from RNAcentral.